Molecule: transfer RNA, 74 nt
Filed under: Enterococcus faecium
Lineage: Bacteria; Bacillati; Bacillota; Bacilli; Lactobacillales; Enterococcaceae
Description: tRNA-Ile
Rfam family: tRNA
About the family: Transfer RNA (tRNA) molecules are approximately 80 nucleotides in length. Their secondary structure includes four short double-helical elements and three loops (D, anti-codon, and T loops).
Source: RNAcentral
GUACCCUUAGCUCAGUUGGUUAGAGCAGACGGCUCAUAACCGUCCGGUCGUAGCUUCGAGUCCUACAGGGUACA